UGGCUCUCGCAUCGAUGAAGAACGCAGCGAAAUGCGAUACGUAAUGUGAAUUGCAGAAUUCAGUGAAUCAUCGAAUCUUUGAACGCACCUUGCACUCUUCGGUAUUCCGAAGAGUACGCCUGUUCGAGCGUCAUGAAAUUCUCAUACUUCUCAUUUAAUUGGGAUGUGUGGACUUGGACCCUUGCAGCUGAAACAACGUUGCUGGUCUUAAAUAUAUUAGUCUUGUAGGCUUGAGACUACUCGGCGUGAUAAUUUUCAUCGUUGGGGAAAUCAGAGCUUGAGGGGCUUUCUAACUGUCAUUCAUGACAUACGAGUUCAAUAUCUGACCUCGAAUCAGGUGGGACUACCCGCUGA
This 354-nucleotide unclassified non-coding RNA is filed under the name uncultured fungus. RNAcentral describes it as "partial contains 5.8S ribosomal RNA and internal transcribed spacer 2". The stretch from base 1 to 133 matches the Rfam family "5.8S ribosomal RNA", at positions 22 to 154 of the family's 154-position model. The record is from RNAcentral. Lineage: Eukaryota; Fungi.